GAAAAUGGGUGGGACGCACCGCAGAGACACGCCCACUCUCGUUCCACCGUACGCACAUGCUUUAAUGUACGCCCCUUCCGCCGGCGUCCUGCUUAGUGCCAGUGUCACUUGGAGGAGACAAGAUGGUACCACCGGUCCCAGUAUCGCCCUUUAUUAAGUUCGCCAGAUAUUCUGCAUUACUGGUUGGAAUGAUUUAUGGCAAGACAAGAUAUGACUAUUUGAAACCAGUUGCUGAAGAAGAAAGGAAGGUAGAAGCUGAAGAAAAAAGACUGCGAGAGGAAGCAGAGCGAAUUGCUAAGGAAUUAGCAGCAGCUAAUGAAGAUACCAUUCUGAAAUGAAUUCCCAUCCAUUAAAGGACACUUUACCACCGUAUUGUAUUUCCUUGUUUAUUGCUCCUGGGUUGCUUAUGUAAAAGAAAUUAUGGUAAUAUAAACUUUCAAGAAAAA
Molecule: RNA transcript, 446 nt
Organism: Xenopus laevis (African clawed frog)
Lineage: Eukaryota; Metazoa; Chordata; Amphibia; Anura; Pipidae
Exons: 4
Source: RefSeq, a predicted model, not a curated record